CUUCACGGAGCCGAGCCACAGCGGCCGUCCGUGCGCGCGCUCCUGACCGUAGGCGGCGAGCAGCGCCUGUGCCUC
Molecule: antisense RNA, 75 nt
Filed under: Actinobacteria bacterium OK074
Lineage: Bacteria; Bacillati; Actinomycetota; Actinomycetes
Description: ASpks TB sRNA
Rfam family: ASpks TB sRNA
Source: Rfam by way of RNAcentral